GUGGUGUAGCAUACAGGAAUAAAAUGAGGAUUAGCAGCAGUACUUGAAGUGAUAAGAAUGGCAGAAUGAAAAUGACUGACCUUGCUUCUGUCCAGCUUGGCCGUCCCAUCCCAGAAAGUGCAUGUUAGCCAGGGCCUGUGAGAUUUGUUCAUCAACUGCACUCUGUUGUCCCACUGUGCAUCUGUGCUCUGGAUUAAACUCUGAUGUUCCUGAGGCUUCUCCCUGGCUCAAAUUCCCCUGUUCACAAACACUGAGCCCUCGAUCUGCUAGGCAGUCCAAACGAAAUAAUUCCUUUGGAUCACAAAUCCCAUCUGUCCCAUGCUGGCCAGUCUGGUCUAAAUGGCAGAACUUCCGUAGGAUAUCCUGAUAGCUGCUGGAUGUCAAGUUCAUCAGCUGCUCUGCCACCUCUUGUGCCUCAUCCCGGAUAUACUCCAGAGAGAGCUGUCCUGAAUUGCAGAAGGGGCUGAUGGGACUUCUGCUGCCCCUCAAACAGCAGUAGAUCUCGACAGAUACUUUCUCUGGAACAUCGUGGCCUUGACGGAGAAAGGGUGAGAAAAGUUCACUGAGGUAGCUCAUCAAAUAUGUUAAAUUAUACAUAUUCUAUCUGCUCAUGAUGGACUACAUCAUUUUGAUCUUACCGUCCAACUUUUUUUAUAUUUGGUAAUUUGUGAUUUUGUGUAGUUUUUUGUUUUACAGUGUCUUAAACUAAAGGCUGCUGAAAAAAGGAGAAGUCCUUCAAUAUGCCCUAAACAUUAAAAACUAGGGUAAUAUUUGUACAUCAUCAUACUGUCUUGUGUUACUGUCUUGAUAUGACAAAACACAAAAACAGGACGUUAUGAACACUAGAACUUUAUAUUAUAGGAAGAAAUCAGGCACUGGCCCAUUUUACUUUUACUUUACUUAAAGCCAUCAGGUAACAUGAGCUCACAACUCUAUUUCAUUAUGUUUCAAGACUGAACAAUUUCUUUCAGGUAUUUGUUGCCUUCUAACGAUAUGUUUCAAUAGAAAUACAUAUUCUUCACUCCUCACCAUAUGCAAACAAGCACUAUCACUGACCAGCGCUGUACUGGUUUCAUUUGUGAACAGGAGAUCCCCUUAUAAUCCAGUUCACACUGACGACGGUAACCAUAAAGAUAACCAGAACUUCAAAGUUUUAAUACUCAUUCUAACUCUAUAUGAAAAAAGGUACGACUACACCACAACUAUAGAAAUAUCUUUAGAACCGUUUCAGAUGAUGCCCAUUUUCCAAGAUGAUGGAUGAUAAAAGCAUUGACAGCCAAUCAGAAUCCACCUGAAAAGAAUGCUCAAGCAUUUGAAGCAGCAGAUGAAAAAAACUACAGCACAUUUCAAAUAAACAAUGUUAACAUCCAUUGACGUGAAUGCCAAUAUAGUUAUUGUUAUAGUUCUAGGUGUGAGCUGGCCAUUACACAAUCAAAGAAAAUCAACCUAUAUACAUCUAUUAGACUGUGUGAUUAAUUCAGUGUUUUACCGGGCACAGUGAAUCUAACUGAACCUUGAUCCGUGGUCCUGUGAGCUGUAGUGACAUGGUGAAGGGAUGAGCCUACAAGGAGCACAUAGUAGUCAGCUUCUUCCUGAACACACGGUGACACCUGCAGCUUCACAAAGACCUCCACCUGACCCUGAGAGAAAGACAGUUACAUCCACAUUAUGAUUUGUGAUACACACAGCAUGUCAUGAUGGAGUUAUCAAAGAAAUAUAUUUUUAAAGCCAAGACAAUUCUUUGGAAAUGGAGCUUAUUAUUCAGGCAAAUAAAUGCAGAUCACUGAAAUGUUACGUUAGUCAAAUUGAAAAUGAACAAUCUACUGAACAAUAGCAAUAUAUUUCUUCAAAUGAAUCCAGACUUUUAUUUUGACGGGUUGCCGGGAAUAUCUUUACAGUUCUGUGUGUAUAUGAUAUGACACCAGUUUUAUUCAAAUUAAAUGGUAAAAUGUCGAGGAAGUGACUCUCAGAACAGUUCUGGAAAUGUUGUUCAUGUAUUUAUGUCCUCAUUUAGUGAGACGGCAGAGCUGAAAUCACCGC
This is a long non-coding RNA of Carassius auratus (goldfish), 2040 nucleotides long. The record is from Ensembl. NCBI's taxonomy places the organism in Eukaryota, Metazoa, Chordata, Actinopteri, Cypriniformes, Cyprinidae.